RNAcentral lists this ribosomal RNA (497 nucleotides) under uncultured bacterium. RNAcentral describes it as "partial 16S ribosomal RNA". It matches the Rfam family "Bacterial small subunit ribosomal RNA", at positions 28 to 507 of the family's 1533-position model. The record is from RNAcentral.
GAUGAACGCUGGCGGCGUGCCUAAUACAUGCAAGUCGAGCGAACAGAUAAGGAGCUUGCUCCUUUGACGUUAGCGGCGGACGGGUGAGUAACACGUGGGUAACCUACCUAUAAGACUGGGAUAACUUCGGGAAACCGGAGCUAAUACCGGAUAAUAUUUCGAACCGCAUGGUUCGGUAGUGAAAGAUGGUUUUGCUAUCACUUAUAGAUGGACCCGCGCCGUAUUAGCUAGUUGGUAAGGUAACGGCUUACCAAGGCGACGAUACGUAGCCGACCUGAGAGGGUGAUCGGCCACACUGGAACUGAGACACGGUCCAGACUCCUACGGGAGGCAGCAGUAGGGAAUCUUCCGCAAUGGGCGAAAGCCUGACGGAGCAACGCCGCGUGAGUGAUGAAGGUCUUCGGAUCGUAAAACUCUGUUAUUAGGGAAGAACAUACGUGUAAGUAACUGUGCACGUCUUGACGGUACCUAAUCAGAAAGCCACGGCUAACUACGUG